Molecule: microRNA precursor, 197 nt
Filed under: Oryza nivara
Lineage: Eukaryota; Viridiplantae; Streptophyta; Magnoliopsida; Poales; Poaceae
Description: MIR812 microRNA precursor family
Rfam family: MIR812 microRNA precursor family
Source: Rfam by way of RNAcentral
AAUAAGUGCAGUUUUGUACUAUUCAUGUUCAAUAUUUGACUGUUCGUCUUAUUUGAAAAAAUUUUAUUAUUAGUAUUUUUAUUGCUAUUAGAUGAUAAAACAUGAAUAGUACUUUAUGUGUGACUAAAUAUUUUCAAAUUUUUUAAAUAAGACGGACGGUCAAACGUUGGGCAUAGAUAUCCACGGCUGCACUUAUU